GUAUACGCAACAUCCCUGACCGACCCGAUUUGUCUGAUCUCGAUAGUUAAGCAGGGUCGGGCCUGGUUAGUACUUGCAUGGGAGACAGCCUGCGAAUACUGGUGCUGUAGUCU
RNAcentral lists this ribosomal RNA (113 nucleotides) under Erinaceus europaeus (western European hedgehog). Lineage: Eukaryota; Metazoa; Chordata; Mammalia; Eulipotyphla; Erinaceidae. The record is from RNAcentral.